Molecule: non-coding RNA, 1604 nt
Organism: Drosophila melanogaster (fruit fly)
Lineage: Eukaryota; Metazoa; Arthropoda; Insecta; Diptera; Drosophilidae
Source: Ensembl
CUGGAGCGGAGUAGCUCUGUUGAACCACAGGAGCGGGAGCCGGAGCGGAGUAGCUCUGCUGAACCACAGGAGCCUGCUGGAUAACAGGGGCUUGCUGAAUGGUCUCUUGAACCACAGGAGCUGGAGCGGAGUAGCUCUGCUGAACCACAGGAGCCUGCUGGAUAACAGGGGCUUGCUGAAUGGUCUCUUGAACCACAGGAGCUGGAGCUGAGUAGCUCUGCUGAACCACAGGAGCGGGAGCUGGAGCGGAGUAGCUCUGCUGAACCACAGGAGCCUGCUGGAUAACAGGGGCUUGCUGAAUGGUCUCUUGAACCACAGGGGCUGGAGCGGAGUAUGUUUGCUGAACCACUGGAGCGGGAGCCGGAGCGGAGUAGCUCUGCUGAACCACAGGUGCUUGCUGAGCCACUGCCUGAACCACUGGCGCUUGCUGGACCACUGGAGCUGGAUAGGAAUAGGUCUGCUGAGCAACUGGAGCGGGAGCCGGAGCACUGUAGCUCUGAACCACCUGAGUUUGCUCCUGGACUGCUGGAGCUGGAGCGGAGUAAGUCUGCUGCGGUGCCGGAGCAGGGGCGGAGUAGGUCUGCUGAACGACAGGAGCAGGAGCUGGAGCAGAGUAAGUCUGCUGAAUGGCUGGGGCAGGAGCACUAUAGAAUUGUUCCUGAACUGGUGCUGGAGCAGGAGCAGGAGCGGAGGAAGUCUGCUGAACCACAGAAGCCGGAGCGCUGUAGUAUUGUUCCUGGGUCACUGGAGCGGGAGCUGAAUAAGUCAGCUGCUGCACGGCCUGCACAGGAGCGGCAGCGGUGUAGGUCUGUUCCUGUACAACUGGUGCUGGUGCGGAGUAUGUUUGCUGAACCACUGGAGCGGGAGCCGGAGCGGAGUAGCUCUGCUGGACCGCGGGAGCAGGAGCUGGAACGGAGUAGGUCUGCUGGAUCACUUGGUGCUGUUCCUGCACUGCAGGAACUGGAAUGGCAAUUGGUGCGGGUGCUGGAACAGGAGCGGCAGCUGGGGCGUUGUAAGUGGUCGUGAUGGUCUCCUGCUGUGGUGCAAUGUUCGCAACCACUGGCUCCGGAGCGGGCACAAAUUGCUGGACGGGAGCGGGUGGCAGAUAGGCGUUCUUCGCCGCCGUCUGGGUGGCAAUCACUGGCUUGGGUGCCUCAUAGAUCACCUGAGGAGCCGGCUGUUGAACCUCCACGGGAGCAGGGGCGGGAGCUGGAGCGGAGUUUACCACUGGAGCAGGUGCUGGAAUGGAAACUGGAGCUGGAGCUGGGGCUGGGGCACUCUGAUAUUGCUGCUGUCCACUCGACUGGAUGGUGAAGCUAGCCAGCGGAACCGAGGCCUGAAUGGACUCCACUUGGGGAUGGAUUUGCGACUGGAUGUGCUGCUGGAGCUGGGUCUGCACCAAUUGCUGGAAGCUCUGCGCUGCGGACACCUCCUUAACCGGCAAAGGUGGCAGAUACUGGGCACCCGGGCGUCCACUGACCACAACCAGGCUGAGAGCAGCCACAACGAUAAAUGCAAAGGGUUUCUGGACAAGAGAGCAAAAACGACACAUAUCACUUGGUAAAUCAAUCACUUUAAAAAAAUAUAUACGAGAGGGAUAUGAG